This 477-nucleotide ribosomal RNA is filed under the name uncultured bacterium. Its description in RNAcentral is "partial 16S ribosomal RNA". It matches the Rfam family "Bacterial small subunit ribosomal RNA", at positions 30 to 507 of the family's 1533-position model. The record is from RNAcentral.
AUUGAACGCUGGCGGCAUGCCUUACACAUGCAAGUCGAACGGUAACAGGUUAAGCUGACGAGUGGCGACCGGGUGAGUAAUGUAUCGGAACGUGCCCAGUCGUGGGGGAUAACUGCUCGAAAGAGCAGCUAAUACCGCAUACGACCUGAGGGCGAAAGCGGGGGCUUGCAAGCCCUCGCGCGAUUGGAGCGGCCGAUAUCAGAUUAGGUAGUUGGUGAGGUAAAGGCUCACCAAGCCGACGAUCUGUAGCUGGUCUGAGAGGAAGACCAGCCACACUAGGACUGAGACACGGCCCAGACUCCGACGGGAGGCAGCAGUGGGGAAUUUUGGACAAUGGGCGCAAGCCUGAUCCAGCCAUGCCGCGUGCGGGAAGAAGGCCUUCGGGUUGUAAACCGCUUUUGUCAGGGAAGAAAAGGUUCUGGCUAAUACCUGGGAAUCAUGACGGUACCUGAAGAAUAAGCACCGGCUAACUACGUG